This 507-nucleotide ribosomal RNA is filed under the name uncultured bacterium. RNAcentral's name for it is "bacterial SSU rRNA". It matches the Rfam family "Bacterial small subunit ribosomal RNA", at positions 29 to 518 of the family's 1533-position model. The record is from RNAcentral.
AUGAACGCUGGCGGCGUGCUUAACACAUGCAAGUCGAACGAAGCACCUCUAAUCGAAGAUUGAGAAAGCUUGCUUUGAUUGAUUCACCUUGAGGUGACUGAGUGGCGGACGGGUGAGUAACGCGUGGGUAACCUACCCUAUACAGGGGGAUAACAGUUGGAAACGACUGCUAAUACCGCAUAAGCGCACAGGACCGCAUGGUCUAGUGUGAAAAACUCCGGUGGUAUAGGAUGGACCCGCGUCUGAUUAGCUAGUUGGUGAGGUAACGGCUCACCAAGGCGACGAUCAGUAGCCGACCUGAGAGGGUGACCGGCCACAUUGGGACUGAGACACGGCCCAAACUCCUACGGGAGGCAGCAGUGGGGAAUAUUGCACAAUGGGCGAAAGCCUGAUGCAGCGACGCCGCGUGAACGAAGAAGUAUUUCGGUAUGUAAAGUUCUAUCAGCAGGGAAGAAAAAUGACGGUACCUGACUAAGAAGCUCCGGCUAAAUACGUGCCAGCAGCGGC